GAGGCCCCGUAAUCGGAAUGAGUACACUUUAAAUCCUUUAACAAGGAUCCAUUGGAGGGCAAGUCUGGUGCCAGCAGCCGCGGUAAUUCCAGCUCCAAUAGCGUAUAUUAAAGUUGUUGCGGUUAAAAAGCUCGUAGUUGGUUCUGCGUGCCGCGCUGUCGGUUCGCCGCCUGUCGGUGUAACUGGCAUGUCGCGGCAUGUCCUGUCGGUGGUGAACGGAGUCCACGACGCUACAUGGGCUUUAUAGUCGAUGUUAGCAUCGUGUGUACUUCCGUUGGCCGAUCUCUCCUACUUCGGUGCUCUUAAACGAGUGUCGAGGUAGGCCGACACGUUCACUUUGAACAAAUUAGAGUGCUUAAAGCAGGCUGAAAUAUCUGCCUGAAUAGUGGUGCAUGGAAUGAUAAAACAGGACCUCGGUUCUAUUUUGUUGGUUUUAGGAAUAUGAGGUAAUGAUCAAUGUGGACUGGCGGGGGCAUUCGUAUUGCGACGUUAGAGGUGAAAUUCUUGGAUCGUCGCAAGACGCACUAGAGCGAAAGCAUUUGCCAAGUAUGUCUUAAUUGAUCAAGAACGAAAGUUAGAGGUUCGAAGGCGAUCAGAUACCGCCCUAGUUCUAACCAUAAACGAUGCCAGCCAGCGAUCCGCCGAUGUUCCUUUAAUGACUCGGCGGGGAGCUUCCACCCGGGAAACCAAAGCUUUUGGGUUCCGGGGGAAGUAUGGUUGCAAAGCUGAAACUUAAAGGAAUGACGGAA
This 749-nucleotide ribosomal RNA is filed under the name Triatoma infestans. Its description in RNAcentral is "SSU rRNA". It matches the Rfam family "Eukaryotic small subunit ribosomal RNA", at positions 497 to 1161 of the family's 1831-position model. The record is from RNAcentral. Lineage: Eukaryota; Metazoa; Arthropoda; Insecta; Hemiptera; Reduviidae.